AUAUCCUCAUGGGACGUGGCCGGUCCACUGCGUCCGGAGUGUAGCCGCACCGGGUACCAUCACCUCGGCUCCAUCCCACUUUCAAUAAUUACCCACUACAAUGUACAUGUUGUACACAUGAAAACGGCCAAAUGUUCGGAUAUCCGAAAUCAAUGCUUGAAGCGUCGGAUUGAUGAAAAUUCAAUAGAAUCCUGUUUUAAAAUUUGUAUUCCUUCCCUUUCUGGAAGUACAUGCCGUACAUUUACGUAUACAAAACGUUGUGUACCAGUUUAUUUAACGUUUAAAGUUUUGUAACCCGUUCUUCUUUGACUUCUUCGGAAUGUUCUAAAACCCUCGCCCUCCGUUCGUAUACUGGAUUCUCAAAUACGACCAAUCAGGGGUAAAUACCCCUGUAUAAGUGUAAACCAUGGACAUGCGGACUUUGUAUCUCUUGCUAGUACUCCUCAUCGCUAAACUGACGCCUGCUACCGCUGAAGAAGUCGGUAAGGGAAUGGUCUCUGAACACCAUGCCAUAAGUCAAGCGCAAGCAACUUACAAUGUGAAGAAAGAUGACACCAAGGAAGCAAGAAACAUUGUAAAGGAGAUUAUGGGUGGGCCCGAAAAAUUCAAGAGCGGAUUAAAGAAAAAGAUCAUGAUAAAAGGCGUUGCAUAAAAUGUUAGUUGUGACGUGCAGAUGUGACAGAACACAUAUAAGACCAGUCAUUUUCCUCUCGUCUAUCGUGUUAUUGGCCAAAUCUACCAAUUGAUUAUAUGGCAAGGGGCGUGGACGAGACAGUAGGAUAGAACGACAUUGCGUUGGCGAAAAACGAUGUGCAAUCAGCCGCGGGACUUUUUUAGUCAGGUGUAAUAGUUUUGAAUGUCCUGGGAAAGAAUGUUUUGGGACAAGGGAUUCUGUAAUGCGCUUUUAAUCUCUGAGGUAAUCAAGGUCACGGGUCUCUAUCGAACCACACUUUAAUCAAUCACCAUGCAAAAACAAACAUACAUUCAAGGCAACUGCUACACCGGAAAUUAACGUUUACCAUUUCAAUUUCAAUUUAUUCUGUAUAAUACCAUUCGGUUAUGAGAGAGGUGUUUAAGCAAGACAUACAAUGUACAGUGCCAUAUGCAAA
Lineus longissimus is the source of this 1109-nucleotide long non-coding RNA. RefSeq lists it as uncharacterized. The transcript is spliced from 3 exons. NCBI's taxonomy places the organism in Eukaryota, Metazoa, Nemertea, Pilidiophora, Heteronemertea, Lineidae. The record is from RefSeq and is a predicted model, not a curated record.